UACGUAGGGCGCAAGCGUUAUCCGGAAUUAUUGGGCGUAAAGAGCUCGUAGGCGGUUUGUCGCGUCUGCCGUGAAAGUCCGGGGCCCAACUCCGGAUCUGCGGUGGGUACGGGCAGACUAGAGUGAUGUAGGGGAGACUGGAAUUCCUGGUGUAGCGGUGGAAUGCGCAGAUAUCAGGAGGAACACCGGUGGCGAAGGCGGGAUCCUGGGCCAGUACUGACGCUGAGGAGCGAAAGCGUGGGGAGCAAACAGG
RNAcentral lists this ribosomal RNA (253 nucleotides) under uncultured bacterium. RNAcentral describes it as "partial 16S ribosomal RNA". It matches the Rfam family "Bacterial small subunit ribosomal RNA", at positions 524 to 776 of the family's 1533-position model. The record is from RNAcentral.